UACGUAGGUGGCGAGCGUUGUCCGGAUUUACUGGGCGUAAAGGGAGCGUAGGCGGAUUUUUAAGUGAGAUGUGAAAUACUCGGGCUCAACUUGAGUGCUGCAUUUCAAACUGGAAGUCUAGAGUGCAGGAGAGGAGAAUGGAAUUCCUAGUGUAGCGGUGAAAUGCGUAGAGAUUAGGAAGAACACCAGUGGCGAAGGCGAUUCUCUGGACUGUAACUGACGCUGAGGCUCGAAAGUGUGGGGAGCAAACAGG
This 253-nucleotide ribosomal RNA is filed under the name uncultured bacterium. RNAcentral's name for it is "partial 16S ribosomal RNA". It matches the Rfam family "Bacterial small subunit ribosomal RNA", at positions 524 to 776 of the family's 1533-position model. The record is from RNAcentral.